UGUAUUCUUGGUUUAGCAAGGAUUUGACUUUGCAAGAUUCUGGUCUUCCAAAAACACUGGAAAAUUAACUGAAUAAGAAAAAUUUUCAUUUAACAAGAUGUUAUUGUUUAUUGUGGUGUGUGAAAUUUCUAUCUUCUCGGAUGGGCUGAAGAUGUUGUGACGCGUGUUAUUAGGGUACUCUUAAUCUUGACGUUGACUUCUAUUUGAUAGAAAACUUCUGGG
RNAcentral lists this long non-coding RNA (222 nucleotides) under Eucalyptus grandis. RNAcentral's name for it is "long non-coding RNA (EGRA_LNC006574)". Lineage: Eukaryota; Viridiplantae; Streptophyta; Magnoliopsida; Myrtales; Myrtaceae. The record is from RNAcentral.